GGGUUGUCAUGCCAAUGGCACGGCCCGGUAGCUAAAUGCGGAAGAGAUAAGUG
RNAcentral lists this ribosomal RNA (53 nucleotides) under Escherichia coli. RNAcentral describes it as "partial 23S ribosomal RNA". The record is from RNAcentral. Lineage: Bacteria; Pseudomonadati; Pseudomonadota; Gammaproteobacteria; Enterobacterales; Enterobacteriaceae.